UUCUCCCUUUUACUGGUUCCCUCUCUCUAUCUCUCCUCAAUUUCCUUUUCCCCUAAAUGAUUUUACCUAGAGACCAAAAAAUUAAAAACAUUGGUUAGUUUUUAGGUUCUGAUUCUAGCCUUAUCGCACGUCACCGUCUACCACCGCCAGCCCACCGUUGCUGAGGCCCAAAUUAUGCCAGUGGCUUCUUCUUGAUGUCUUCUUGUCUUAAUGCGGUCAAUCUUUCGUGAAAGUGCCUUUAACUUUAUAGCUUAGGUCUUGAAAAUUGUGAAGAACCUUAAAAUCUUCUAUUCUGCUGCUCCUAUUGCUGCCAUCCCCAGAUAUGUUCUUCACCUUGUAUUGGAAAUGGCUGUUCAAUGAGGGGUUUAGGAUGAGGGUAGUGACAAGAUUGGUCGUCGGACGAUGGAGCGAGAUUCUCUUUUUUAGGCUACAGGGUUGCAGUCAGAACGAUGGUCACUUCUGAUUGUUUGUUGUAAUUGAAUUUGGGUUUGUGGUUGGGUGUGCCGUGCACCACCUUGGUUCCAACAUGGUGGACUUAUGGAGGGUGAGAUGAUUUUGCUUUGCUUUUUAUUUUUUGUUUCCUAGAGUCUUCUGGGUAAUUGCUGGGUGUUAUGGAUUUUCUUUUUGGCUGGGUGUUUGGUGGCUGUGUGACUCUUGCUGAUAGAAUUAGGAUUGAAUGGAAUCAGACAAAAGAGGCUUUUCUGUACGUGGUGUUGUUUAGGGUAUCUUAUAGGAGUUGUUGAUGCAGUGGGAUGUUUUCUGGCUGGCUAGCAAUGGCAACAUGGUGAAGGUGGAGAUGGCAAUGUGGAUGUGACAGUGUGUUAAGAAUGGUGAUGAAGCUUUGCUCGAUUUUCCUUUGUGUUUCUUGUGGCUAUCGGUGUGUGGCUUUGGGGUUCGAUUGUGGGUUGAUGGUAGACUAGGGCUGGACAACUAUGGAAGGAGUAUUCUGCUGGCAAUAGGUUUUCUAGGAUCUUAUUGACGUUCCUAGGAAUUACUCGAUUUUCUUCCUUUUUGUUAUUGCCCCCCAUGCAGUGUAAUGGUUAUUGUUUAAUAGGGACUCAGUCCCUAUAAAAUGCAAGAUCAAACUAUUAUCUGGUUGAAUAAUAUUUUCCGUUUAUCUCUUUUAAUUUCAAUUUUAAACUCAACCAGCUUAUCCUC
This is a non-coding RNA of Durio zibethinus, 1158 nucleotides long. Lineage: Eukaryota; Viridiplantae; Streptophyta; Magnoliopsida; Malvales; Malvaceae. The record is from RefSeq and is a predicted model, not a curated record.